GGAAUCUUGCGCAAUGGGCGAAAGCCUGACGCAGCGACGCCGCGUGGGGGAUGAAGGCCUUCGGGUUGUAAACCCCUUUCAGGAGGGAAGAAAUUGACGGUACCUCCACAAGAAGCCCCGGCCAACUACGUGCCAGCAGCCGCGGUAAUACGUAGGGGGCGAGCGUUGUCUGGAAUCAUUGGGCGUAAAGAGCUCGUAGGCGGUUCAGCAAGUCGGCUGUGAAAGUCCGAGGCUCAACCUCGGAACUGCAUUCGAUACUGCUGUGACUUGAGUUCGGUAGAGGAGAAUGGAAUUCUCGGUGUAGCGGUGGAAUGCGCAGAUAUCGAGAGGAACACCAGUAGCGAAGGCGGUUCUCUGGGCCGAUACUGACGCUGAGGAGCGAAAGCGUGGGGAGCAAAC
This 399-nucleotide ribosomal RNA is filed under the name uncultured bacterium. Its description in RNAcentral is "bacterial SSU rRNA". It matches the Rfam family "Bacterial small subunit ribosomal RNA", at positions 358 to 773 of the family's 1533-position model. The record is from RNAcentral.